UCAUUUUUAUGUUUGAUUCGGCAGCACUUGGAAUGAUACAUAAAAUAUAAGCAUGACUCCUGUGCAAGGUGACAUGCAAAUUCAUAAAGCAUUCAAUACUUUU
Small nuclear RNA from Suncus etruscus (white-toothed pygmy shrew), 103 nucleotides. Lineage: Eukaryota; Metazoa; Chordata; Mammalia; Eulipotyphla; Soricidae. The record is from RefSeq and is a predicted model, not a curated record.